This 274-nucleotide long non-coding RNA is filed under the name Setaria viridis. RNAcentral's name for it is "long non-coding RNA (SVIR_LNC001545)". The record is from RNAcentral. Lineage: Eukaryota; Viridiplantae; Streptophyta; Magnoliopsida; Poales; Poaceae.
GGGGGUUGGAGGGGAUUUGAAUGGAACCGUCGCUGCUUGGGCGGAAUCUGUGGCGACCUGCGAAUGCGAUUUGGGAUGCUUGGCUUCGUAUCUUGGAUGCGGCUUGUCGUCUUGUCGAAUGCGUUUGGUCGUUUCUUUCUCAGUGCCCAGGUCAAACGGUCAAAGCGAGUGCACACUCAGGUCGACGUGUAAUUGAUCAGCCCAUUAGGCCCAUUAGGCAACAUUGUUGUUUUUGGAUUCCUUUUUCAAUUGUGUUGGGAAAAUUGCAAAAACC